Long non-coding RNA from Anguilla rostrata (American eel), 1130 nucleotides. RefSeq lists it as uncharacterized. The record is from RefSeq and is a predicted model, not a curated record. Lineage: Eukaryota; Metazoa; Chordata; Actinopteri; Anguilliformes; Anguillidae. The transcript has 2 exons.
ACGGAGACUGCGGUCCGCACACGCACAGACAAGGGGGCGGCUGGCCAAUGGUGCUUAACAUUCAGGGGACAGCUUUGUGGAUCAGUACAGAAACCCCACCCACCCCUGCCACCUGAUUGGUGCUUUCUCUCUGUCCGCCUCCUGGGUGUGGCUCUCACCCUGUCCUGCCUUGACUGUACUCUCUAAUUGUAGCUGCGCUUUACGCUUGCCUUCCAGCCGGCUGCUCACUGGGGACGGGUCUGUUUGGCUCGCUCGGUGUACAUGCUGGCCCCCGGCCGUCCUGCACAGCUUCCUCCUGCCCCGUGUUAACAGCAGCAACUCCCUUUUCCUACACGCAGUCCCACCAUCCCCCUGCCUCUGCUGUCCUCCCUGGCCCCGGUGGCUGUCUGGCUGUGAGCAGUGCAGUGCGUGCGUGCGUGCAUGUGCGUGUGUGUGUGUGCACGUGUGUGUUCGUGUGUGUGCAUGUGUGAGAGAGAAAGAGAUGUGAGAGGUGCACUAUGUGUGUGGCAGCGUGUGAGUGUGGCAGUAUGUGUGGAUGUGUGAGGUGCUGUGUGUAUGGACGUGAAAGGUGCUGUGUGUGGCAGUGUGUGUAGAUGUGAGAGGUGCUGUGUGAGUGGUCGUAUGUGUGUGGCAGUGUGUUUAUGUGGAUGUGAGGUGCAGUGUGUGGAUGUGCUUGUGAGAGGUGCAGUGUGUGUGUGUGUGGCAGUGUGUGGAUGUGCAUGUGAGAGGUUCAGUGUGAAUGGUUGUGUGUGGAUGUGAGAGGUGCUGUGUGAGUGGCUGUAUGUGUGGAUGUGGUUUUGUGCAGGAUGUCUUGCAGGCAUCAUUGCAGCCUGUACUGAAAUCUGACUGCUUACAUUGCUUGCUUCACAGAUUAAACGUUUCCUAAUGAAAAUACCGGCUGCUGCAGUUAGUAUUAACAGUAUUCUUUCACAAAGACUAACCCUUUUAAUGUGAGGCUUUCUAAGGCUGUUGAAGGAUGUUUCAUAAUUAUGUCUUAAUUAAUUUUUGCUUUCAUGAAUCUCCUGUUUAUCCCUGAACAUCACUUUACUAUGACUCCGUCCAGGCAAGAGAUGUUUCCUGCUCUCAUAACAAUUUAAUAUAAUAGAUCAAUAAAGAGCAAGUAAAUGAAA